CAACUAUUCAAAGCGCUCGCCCCUGAUGUGCCCCCUGACAUGUUCCUGAUGGACCGGGCUCACAGAGUGCCAAAACCCACCUUCUUACCACCUGAAACCCCUAGAGACGUGUUGCUGAGAAUGCAUUACUUUCACAUAAAGGAAGAGGUAAUGAGAGCAAACAGAACCAGGAAAAAAACAGACAUGCCGGCGGCAUACCAGGCAAUAGCAAUUUAUGCCGACAUCUCAGCAUACACGCUUAAACGCAGGACGGAUUUUGCAGGAAUCACGACGCAACUCCGCCAACAACAAAUACCAUACAGAUGGGGAUACCCGGUGAAGCUGAUCGUACAGAGAAACGGAAGACCAACUACAAUACAGAGCCCAGACGAAGGAAUGAAAAUCCUCAGAACCUGGGGCAUAGAAAUUC
This is a non-coding RNA of Pelobates cultripes (western spadefoot toad), 409 nucleotides long. Lineage: Eukaryota; Metazoa; Chordata; Amphibia; Anura; Pelobatidae. The record is from the annotation of a GenBank genome assembly.